CAGUAGCCACGGUAAUACGUAGGGUGCAAGCGUUAAUCGGAAUUACUGGGCGUAAAGCGUGCGCAGGCGGUUAUAUAAGACAGAUGUGAAAUCCCCGGGCUCAACCUGGGAACUGCAUUUGUGACUGUAUAGCUAGAGUACGGCAGAGGGGGAUGGAAUUCCGCGUGUAGCAGUGAAAUGCGUAGAUAUGCGGAGGAACACCGAUGGCGAAGGCAAUCCCCUGGGCCUGUACUGACGCUCAUGCACGAAAGCGUGGGGAGCAAACAGGAUUAGAUACCCCGGUAGUCCCUGUCUCUUAUAU
RNAcentral lists this ribosomal RNA (301 nucleotides) under uncultured bacterium. Its description in RNAcentral is "partial 16S ribosomal RNA". It matches the Rfam family "Bacterial small subunit ribosomal RNA", at positions 509 to 809 of the family's 1533-position model. The record is from RNAcentral.